Molecule: ribosomal RNA, 292 nt
Filed under: uncultured bacterium
Lineage: Bacteria
Description: partial 16S ribosomal RNA
Rfam family: Bacterial small subunit ribosomal RNA
Source: RNAcentral
GUUUCAGCAGCCGCGGUAAUACGGAGGGUGCUAGCGUUGUUCGGAAUCACUGGGCGUAAAGCGCGUGUAGGCGGCCCACUAAGUCUGAUGUGAAAGCCCGGGGCUCACCCCCGGAAGCGCAUUGGAAACUGAUGGGCUCGAGUCUCGGAGAGGAGGGUGGAAUUCCUGGUGUAGCGGUGAAAUGCGUAGAUAUCAGGAGGAACACCGGUGGCGAAGGCGGCCCUCUGGACGAUGACUGACGCUGAGACGCGAAAGCGUGGGGAGCAAACAGGAUUAGAUACCCGCGUAGUCC